This 266-nucleotide ribosomal RNA is filed under the name Solanum tuberosum (potato). RNAcentral's name for it is "4.5S ribosomal RNA". Lineage: Eukaryota; Viridiplantae; Streptophyta; Magnoliopsida; Solanales; Solanaceae. The record is from RNAcentral. RNAcentral also lists the same sequence under 1 other name.
CUGCCCUUCCAUCCCUUGGAUAGAUAGAGAGGGAGGGCAGAGCUUUUGGUUUUUUCAUGUUGUCAAAGAGUUGAACAAUGGUUUUUUCGUGUUGUCAAAGAUUUGAACAAUGAAAAUAGAUGGCGAGUGCCUGAUCGAAUUGAUCAGGUCAUGUAGGAACAAGGUUCAAGUCUACCGGUCUGUUAGGAUGCCUCAGCUGCAUACAUCACUGCACUUCCACUUGACACCUAUCGUAAUGAUAAACGGCUCGUCUCGCCGUGACCUUC